UACGUAGGUGGCAAGCGUUGUCCGGACUUAUUGGGUCUAAAGGGUGCGUAGGCGGCUUGAUAAGUCAGCGGUAAAAGGUAGCAGCUUAACUGUUCUACGUGCCGUUGAUACUGUUGAGCUUGAAUUACGGGAGGCAGAUAGAACUCCUGAUGUAGCGGUGAAAUGCAUAGAUAUCAGGAAGAAUAUCGAUUGAGAAGGCGGUCUGCUGUAGUAAGAUCGACGCUGAGGCACGAAAGCAUGGGGAUCAAACAGG
This 253-nucleotide ribosomal RNA is filed under the name uncultured bacterium. RNAcentral's name for it is "partial 16S ribosomal RNA". It matches the Rfam family "Bacterial small subunit ribosomal RNA", at positions 524 to 776 of the family's 1533-position model. The record is from RNAcentral.